Small nucleolar RNA from Lycium ferocissimum, 75 nucleotides. RefSeq annotates it as small nucleolar RNA R66. The record is from RefSeq and is a predicted model, not a curated record. Lineage: Eukaryota; Viridiplantae; Streptophyta; Magnoliopsida; Solanales; Solanaceae. The transcript has a single exon.
UCCUCUGAUGGCAUGAAAUCUUUGAGAACUGAAUUAUCUAUUUUGAUGACAAUUACAAGCAUCUUUUCUGAGGAC